RNAcentral lists this long non-coding RNA (428 nucleotides) under Amborella trichopoda. Its description in RNAcentral is "long non-coding RNA (ATRI_LNC005322)". The record is from RNAcentral. Lineage: Eukaryota; Viridiplantae; Streptophyta; Magnoliopsida; Amborellales; Amborellaceae.
UUUCUCGCAUUGCAACCUAAUUCUCUCUCUCUCUCUCUAAAAUUCCAAAAGGAGAGGUUUUAUCCUAUUUUUUUUUUGAUAAAUAUGUGACAUUGAAGGGGAGAAAAAUAGUGAGUAGGAUGAGGAGCAAGAAAAGGUAAGUUUCUGUUUUUUUUUUCUUCUACAGAUUUUUUUUUGACGGUUUCCCUACAAUGAUUAUGGGCUGCAAUAAGCUCCAAGAUUGACUAUUUUUUUUCUCAAUGGAUAUGGCUGUCUCUUGCCAAUUUUUUUUUUUUAAACCGACAAAACAUCUCUUGCCAAUUCUUUUUAACGCAUAUGGCUGCGUCUUGCCAAAAUUACUUCUUGGAUCAUGGGCUGCACACUCUAAUGGCUAUGUAAUAAGUAUGUGCCUCAUUCCCUUGUUAUUUUUGGUUGCGAUGCAGUACUAU